AGAGUUUGAUCAUGGCUCAGAAUGAACGUUGGCGGCGUGGAUUAGGCAUGCAAGUCGAGCGAGAACCCCGCAAGGGGGGACAGCGGCAAACGGGGUAGUAAUGUGUCGGAACGUGCCCUGAGGUCGGGGAUAGCGGCGGGAAACUGCCGGUAAUACCCGAUGAUCUCGAGAGAGCAAAGGUGUGAUUCCGCCUUUGGAGCGGCCGACAUGGUAUUAGCUAGUUGGCGGGGUAACGGCCCACCAAGGCUGUGAUGCCUAGGGGAUGUGAGAGCAUGAUCCCCACCAUUGGGACUGAGACACUGCCCAGACACCUACGGGUGGCUGCAGUCGAGAAUCUUCGUCAAUGGGCGAAAGCCUGAACGAGCGACGCCGCGUGCGGGAUGAAGGCCUUUGGGUUGUAAACCGCUGUCGAGGGGGAUGAAGGCUGGAGGGUACUCCUUCCAGUUUGACAGAGCCCUGGAGGAAGCACGGGCUAAGUUCGUGCCAGCAGCGGCGGUAAUAC
RNAcentral lists this ribosomal RNA (502 nucleotides) under uncultured bacterium. RNAcentral describes it as "bacterial SSU rRNA". It matches the Rfam family "Bacterial small subunit ribosomal RNA", at positions 8 to 526 of the family's 1533-position model. The record is from RNAcentral.